Molecule: ribosomal RNA, 468 nt
Filed under: uncultured bacterium
Lineage: Bacteria
Description: partial 16S ribosomal RNA
Rfam family: Bacterial small subunit ribosomal RNA
Source: RNAcentral
GACGAACGCUGGCGGCGUGCUUAACACAUGCAAGUCGAACGGAAAGGCCCUGCUUUUGUGGGGUGCUCGAGUGGCGAACGGGUGAGUAACACGUGAGUAACCUGCCCUUGACUUUGGGAUAACUUCAGGAAACUGGGGCUAAUACCGGAUAGGAGCUCCUGCUGCAUGGUGGGGGUUGGAAAGUUUCGGCGGUUGGGGAUGGACUCGCGGCUUAUCAGCUUGUUGGUGGGGUAGUGGCUUACCAAGGCUUUGACGGGUAGCCGGCCUGAGAGGGUGACCGGCCACAUUGGGACUGAGAUACGGCCCAGACUACUACGGGAGGCAGCGGUGGGGAAGAUUGCACAAUGGGCGGAAGCCUGAUGCAGCAACGCCGCGUGCGGGAUGACGGCCUUCGGGUUGUAAACCGCUUUCGCCUGUGACGAAGCGUGAGUGACGGUAAUGGGUGAAGAAGCACCGGCUAACUACGUG